Molecule: ribosomal RNA, 432 nt
Filed under: uncultured bacterium
Lineage: Bacteria
Description: partial 16S ribosomal RNA
Rfam family: Bacterial small subunit ribosomal RNA
Source: RNAcentral
GCGAACGCUGGCGGCAGGCCUAACACAUGCAAGUCGCACGAACUCUUCGGAGUUAGUGGCGGACGGGUGAGUAACACGUGGGAACGUGCCUUUUGGUUCGGAAUAACUCAGGGAAACUUGUGCUAAUACCGAAUGUGCCCUUCGGGGGAAAGAUUUAUCGCCAUUAGAGCGGCCCGCGUCUGAUUAGCUAGUUGGUGAGGUAACGGCUCACCAAGGCGACGAUCAGUAGCUGGUCUGAGAGGAUGACCAGCCACACUGGGACUGAGACACGGCCCAGACUCCUACGGGAGGCAGCAGUGGGGAAUCUUGCGCAAUGGGCGAAAGCCUGACGCAGCCAUGCCGCGUGAAUGAUGAAGGUCUUAGGAUUGUAAAAUUCUUUCACCGGGGACGAUAAUGACGGUACCCGGAGAAGAGGCCCCGGCUAACUUCGUG